AUACGGAGGAUCCAAGCGUUAUCCGGAUUUAUUGGGUUUAAAGGGUACGUAGGCGGACUCAUAAGUCAGUGGUGAAAUUCUGCAGCUUAACUGUAGCAUUGCCAUUGAUACUGUUUGUCUUGAGUAUAGUUGAGGUAGGCGGAAUGUAGUGUGUAGCGGUGAAAUGCAUAGAUAUACUACGGAACACCGAUUGCGAAGGCAGCUUACUAAACUAUUACUGACGCUGAGGUACGAAAGCGUGGGGAGCAAACAGGAUUAGAUACCCUGGUAGUCCACGCCGUAAACUAUGAUUACUAGUUGUUUGCGAUAUAUUGUAAGCGACUGCGCGAAAGCAUUAAGUAAUCCACCUGGGGGGUACGUUGGCAACAAUGAA
Molecule: ribosomal RNA, 373 nt
Filed under: uncultured bacterium
Lineage: Bacteria
Description: bacterial SSU rRNA
Rfam family: Bacterial small subunit ribosomal RNA
Source: RNAcentral